CACGUAGGGCGCAAGCGUUGUCCGGAAUUAUUGGGCGUAAAGCGCUCGUAGGCGGGACAGGAAGUUCGUGUUGAAAGACCUCGGCUCAACUGAGGGACCGGCUCGAAUACUCUUGUUCUUGAGGCAAUCAGAGGGUGAUGGAAUUCCCGGUGUAGCGGUGGAAUGCGCAGAUAUCAGGAGGAACACCGAUGGCGAAGGCAGAUCUCUGGGCCGUAACUGACGCUGAGGAGCGAAAGCAUGGGGAGCGAACAGG
This 253-nucleotide ribosomal RNA is filed under the name uncultured bacterium. RNAcentral's name for it is "partial 16S ribosomal RNA". It matches the Rfam family "Bacterial small subunit ribosomal RNA", at positions 524 to 776 of the family's 1533-position model. The record is from RNAcentral.